GGGUCCAUAAUUCAACGGCAGAAUAUCGAGCUCAUAACUCGCCAGUUGCAGGUUCGAAUCCUGCUGGACCCA
RNAcentral lists this transfer RNA (72 nucleotides) under Anaerolineae bacterium. RNAcentral's name for it is "tRNA-Ile". It matches the Rfam family "tRNA". Rfam says of the family: Transfer RNA (tRNA) molecules are approximately 80 nucleotides in length. Their secondary structure includes four short double-helical elements and three loops (D, anti-codon, and T loops). Further hydrogen bonds mediate the characteristic L-shaped molecular structure. tRNAs have two regions of fundamental functional importance: the anti-codon, which is responsible for specific mRNA codon recognition, and the 3' end, to which the tRNAs corresponding amino acid is attached (by aminoacyl-tRNA synthetases). tRNAs cope with the degeneracy of the genetic code in two manners: having more than one tRNA (with a specific anti-codon) for a particular amino acid; and 'wobble' base-pairing, i.e. permitting non-standard base-pairing at the 3rd anti-codon position. The record is from RNAcentral. Lineage: Bacteria; Bacillati; Chloroflexota; Anaerolineae.